Molecule: ribosomal RNA, 253 nt
Filed under: uncultured bacterium
Lineage: Bacteria
Description: partial 16S ribosomal RNA
Rfam family: Bacterial small subunit ribosomal RNA
Source: RNAcentral
UACGGAGGGUCCAAGCGUUAUCCGGAUUUAUUGGGUUUAAAGGGUCCGUAGGCGGUUCUUUAAGUCAGUGGUGAAAUCCUGCAGCUCAACUGCAGAACUGCCAUUGAUACUGGAGAACUUGAGUAUGAUUGAAGUGGGCGGAAUGUGUCAUGUAGCGGUGAAAUGCAUAGAUAUGACACAGAACACCGAUUGCGAAGGCAGCUCACUAAGCCAUAACUGACGCUGAGGGACGAAAGCGUGGGGAGCGAACAGG